CAGUAAUUCUGAUAUUGGCCUGGUUCCCUCAGACAAAUAAAUAAAAAAAUCCUCUAUGAAUGGAGGAGUUUUAAUUUGCUUUGAUUGAGCCGUGCCAAUAUCUUAGUUCUCUUU
RNAcentral lists this microRNA precursor (114 nucleotides) under Nicotiana sylvestris (wood tobacco). Lineage: Eukaryota; Viridiplantae; Streptophyta; Magnoliopsida; Solanales; Solanaceae. The record is from RNAcentral.